Molecule: transfer RNA, 82 nt
Filed under: Calditrichia bacterium
Lineage: Bacteria; Pseudomonadati; Calditrichota; Calditrichia
Also listed under: 1 other name
Description: tRNA-Leu
Rfam family: tRNA
About the family: Transfer RNA (tRNA) molecules are approximately 80 nucleotides in length.
Source: RNAcentral
ACGCGGGUGGCGGAACUGGCAGACGCGCCAGACUUAGGAUCUGGUGCCGCAAGGCGUGGGAGUUCGAGUCUCCCCCCGCGUA